Long non-coding RNA from Calliphora vicina (urban bluebottle blowfly), 412 nucleotides. RefSeq lists it as uncharacterized. The transcript has 2 exons. NCBI's taxonomy places the organism in Eukaryota, Metazoa, Arthropoda, Insecta, Diptera, Calliphoridae. The record is from RefSeq and is a predicted model, not a curated record.
UUUGUUUACAAAAAUUUCUCAUUCUCAGAACAUCAUCAUUUUACACUCGAAUGCUAAAAACGCAUUAAAAUCUUGGUAUAAAUAUUAGUUUACGAAAUAAUUUUAAUUCAUUGUGGUAUUGACUUCUACAAUAUGAAAUUCUACGCUUUGUUUAUUGUUGUCUUGGCUUUAAUUGCCUGUGCCUUGGGCAAUCCUAAUCCCAAUCCUUUGCCAAAUCCUAAACCGCUAGGCGGUGGUGGAGGAGGUGGCGGUGGUGGCGGCUCCUUCGGUGGUGGUGGUGGCGGCGGCGGUGGUGGUGGUGGAAAGUAAAUCCAUACAUUGCAUUUGAUGAUAUUAUAGUUGAAUUUAAAUGAUUUAUAUUUUAAGUUGAUUUGAAUAAAAUAACGAAAUUUUAAAAGCUAAUAGUAAAUAA